Molecule: ribosomal RNA, 497 nt
Filed under: uncultured bacterium
Lineage: Bacteria
Description: partial 16S ribosomal RNA
Rfam family: Bacterial small subunit ribosomal RNA
Source: RNAcentral
GAUGAACGCUGGCGGCGUGCCUAAUACAUGCAAGUCGAGCGAACAGACUAGGAGCUUGCUCCUCUGACGUUAGCGUCGGACGGGUGAGUAACACGUGGAUAACCUACCUAUAAGACUGGUAUAACUUCGGGAAACCGGAGCUAAUACCGGAUAAUAUAUUGAACCGCAUGGUUCAAUAGUCAAAGACGAUUUUGCUGUCACUUAUAGAUGGAUCCGCUCCGCAUUAGCUAGUUGGUAAGGUAACCGCUUACCAAGGCAACGAUGCGUAGCCGACCUAAGAGGGUGGUCGGCCACACGGGAAGUGAGACACGGUCCAGACUCCGACGGGAGGCAACAGUAGGGAAUCUUACGCAAUGGGCGAAAGCUUGACAGAGCAACGCCGAGUGAGUGCUGAAGCUCUUCGGAUCGUAAAACUCUGUUAUUAGGGACGAACAAAUGUGUAAGUAACUAUGCACGUAUUGACGGUACCUAAUCAGAAAGCCACGGCUAACUACGUG